This 253-nucleotide ribosomal RNA is filed under the name uncultured bacterium. RNAcentral describes it as "partial 16S ribosomal RNA". It matches the Rfam family "Bacterial small subunit ribosomal RNA", at positions 524 to 776 of the family's 1533-position model. The record is from RNAcentral.
UACGUAGGUGGCGAGCGUUGUCCGGAUUUACUGGGCGUAAAGCGUGCGUAGACGGUAGCGUAAGUCAGAUGUGAAAGCCCCGGGCUCAACCUGGGAAUUGCAUUUGAGACUGCUCUGCUCGGGUGCGGAAGAGGGAAGCGGAAUUUCCGGUGUAGCGGUGAAAUGCGUAGAUAUCGGAAGGAACACCAGUGGCGAAAGCGGCUUCCUGGUCCGACACCGACGUUCAGGCACGAAAGCGUGGGGAGCAAACAGG